UCCGUUAUGGUGUAGUGGCUAGCAUCAGCCGCUCUCAUUGUAGAGCAUUAAACCGGCUAGACCGGGGUUCGAUUCCCCGUAACGGAA
This 87-nucleotide transfer RNA is filed under the name Sphaerosporella brunnea. It matches the Rfam family "tRNA". Rfam says of the family: Transfer RNA (tRNA) molecules are approximately 80 nucleotides in length. The record is from Rfam by way of RNAcentral. Lineage: Eukaryota; Fungi; Ascomycota; Pezizomycetes; Pezizales; Pyronemataceae.